AAUGUUAAUGAUAUCCGUUGCGAUUGAGUGGUUGCUUCUCCGGGGAGUCGGUGGGGCGUUUGCGCUUGAAGAAGCCACACUGAAAAAUCAAGUGGAAUAGAGGUUAGUAUCAAGUGUUAUGGUUGACUCUAAACACAGUUUGCCGUGAGGUCACUCACUCUCCAAAGACAGAAAAUGAUCAAAGCGAGGAGUAGGAGACCGCCCAAGGCGGCCAAUAACCACACCCACCACGGAAUGGAACCCUCUGCAAGCUCACUGGGGAACACCUCAGUCGUCACUUGAUGGGUCUGCAAGAUAAAAUCAAGGUUGAGUAUUCGUGGGCUACUCAAGUUCCGCGUAAAUGGUUUGGCGCGUACUUGGUAUUCAAUUCGAGACACAUCAGCCUGAUGAGGAAGACGGGUGAUCCUUGUGACUAGUUUGGACGAGAUUUGAACUUUGUCCGCAUAAUUCUGCAAAAGAAGGAAGGGGCGGGAAGGCAUGUCCCGUAGCUUCAAAUGCGCAAUUGAGGCCAAAGUGAGCUCACUUUAGAAUCGAGAUGAACCACUGGUGCUGAGCGAAGGUACACCGCGUUGCUGGAAUCGUACGCACCCACCAGGAGAUCCGGAUAUUUGUUCUUAUCCAGAUCCAUCCCAGCGGAAAUUGACCACCCAAAGGUUCUAAUUGUCGAGCUAAUGUCUGCUGCGCGGAUGACCUGCAAUGGAUGGUGCCUUACUUAGCAAGAUCCCUGGCAUUGAUCCAGCCUAUUGGAUUGUUGAUAUACCUGGGCAAAUUUCCCAAGGAUCCCAUCCUCGGAUCCCAUGAAAAUGUAAAUGGCUCCCCUGUGAUCGGCCCCGUCGUAGGGGGCACCCACGAUAAGAUCCUCAAUGCCUUUGGGAUGGGACCGAGUCAUCCCAUCCAGGUUAAGGUUACCGGCGCAAGCCACUGACAAUCCAAACCUGGCCUUAUGAUUCUCUCCAUCCAAAGUGUCGAAUUUUUUGAACUUGUGCUAAAGAAGAGACACAGA
Molecule: long non-coding RNA, 1003 nt
Organism: Tigriopus californicus
Lineage: Eukaryota; Metazoa; Arthropoda; Copepoda; Harpacticoida; Harpacticidae
Exons: 2
Source: RefSeq, a predicted model, not a curated record